GGAUAUCCAUCGCUGGAGCUUCCCGGUAGUAUUUGCAAUAAACAUUCCGAGCAGUCGAUUUGAACGUUUUCUAUCUCUUAAAUGUUCCGGUCGAAGCUGAUUCGUUCACAACUGGUGCUUUGUCUCCGUUUUUCCCGGUAGCAUCCGAUCUAUGAUGACUGUUUUUAGGUAAAGCGUUCCGUGGAUAGAUGAUGACUGUCGCCAUAUUGGAGCUUUACGAAUGCGACGAGUUCGUUCAAAUCCCUCUUCCUGAAAAUUAGAAGAAAAAAAACGGCGAUGAAUAGGUUUAGUAGUGUCAAUCAGUGUUGUAAAACUUCGUUCAAUUCAAUUGAAAUCGAAUGUGUGCACACAAUAACGAUCACUCUACUGCAGCAAACUUCACAUUCUAGCAUACACCCUUCGCAGUCUCACCGAAUGGGCUAGGGAUUCAUUCGUGUCUCUUUCUGCCGAAGCUCAGUUUAAUCACCGUCAUUUUAUGAAAAAGCGUCCUUCAAGUGAGGUUCAUGUAAACAUUCGAAUUGGUUCAAGAUAAUGGAUGAAAGAAACACAUCACAAUACAUUUCAAACCGUCGAAAUUAUCGAUUUUAACUUACUGGUGAUAAUUGAAAACUCAAAUGAGUUCCGCCACACUCAAUUUAUCGUUAUGGUGUGUUAUCGAAUUGAUGUUUAUGUCUAUUCAUUCGCACUUACUCACUACCCACAGUGAAGACAUGGAAGACAAUGAAUACUACAAACUGAGCAAGCAAAACUUCAAGUAACUAGGUACGGUUAUUUGAUUGACGAUGAA
Malaya genurostris is the source of this 787-nucleotide long non-coding RNA. RefSeq lists it as uncharacterized. Lineage: Eukaryota; Metazoa; Arthropoda; Insecta; Diptera; Culicidae. The record is from RefSeq and is a predicted model, not a curated record. The transcript has 4 exons.